Molecule: ribosomal RNA, 402 nt
Filed under: uncultured Ezakiella sp.
Lineage: Bacteria; Bacillati; Bacillota; Tissierellia
Description: bacterial SSU rRNA
Rfam family: Bacterial small subunit ribosomal RNA
Source: RNAcentral
UGGGGAAUAUUGCACAAUGGAGGGAACUCUGAUGCAGCGACGCCGCGUGAGCGAUGAAGGGAUUCGUUUCGUAAAGCUCUGUUCUAUGGGAAGAAAAGGACUGUACCAUAGGAGCAAGCCCCGGCUAAAUACGUGCCAGCAGCCGCGGUAAUACGUAUGGGGCGAGCGUUGUCCGGAAUUAUUGGGCGUAAAGGGUACGCAGGCGGUUUAUCAAGUUGGAUGUGAAAUCUUGUAGCUCAACUACAAACGUGCAUCCAAAACUGGUUAACUUGAGUUAAGGAGAGGUAAGUGGAAUUCCUAGUGUAGCGGUGGAAUGCGUAGAUAUUAGGAGGAAUACCGGUGGCGAAGGCGACUUACUGGACUUAUACUGACGCUGAGGUACGAAAGCGUGGGGAGCAAACA